Ochotona princeps (American pika) is the source of this 345-nucleotide long non-coding RNA. RefSeq lists it as uncharacterized. The transcript is spliced from 3 exons. The record is from RefSeq and is a predicted model, not a curated record. NCBI's taxonomy places the organism in Eukaryota, Metazoa, Chordata, Mammalia, Lagomorpha, Ochotonidae.
UUUCAGGAUCCUGAGGUCUUGGCAUCACAAAUUCCUGGGAGACUUGUUGAAAUGUAAGAUACAGGUGUUUCCCUGGAAGCCCAACCUACAUCUGUGGUCAGGGUAAACAACCACAGGUUGCUGCAGAUGGCCUGGCAGAUGGUCCUGGGAGCACAGGUGCCCUUGACAUCCACAAGAAUGUAAAUCCAUAAGGCUAGAGAACCAGACACCUCCAGGGACGGACAAGGACAUCUAGUGUCUAUUCACCAGUUAUGACUUAUUGGUAUGCUUUCUACAUAUUGUAUUACCAUCUACAGGCACCAUGAGAGGAAGCAGAAUAAACAAGUGUCCCCUGAAACUGACAUC